Molecule: long non-coding RNA, 1633 nt
Filed under: Theobroma cacao (cacao)
Lineage: Eukaryota; Viridiplantae; Streptophyta; Magnoliopsida; Malvales; Malvaceae
Description: long non-coding RNA (TCAC_LNC001555)
Source: RNAcentral
AUAUUUAUCCCAUUCUUCUUCUCCAUAUUUGGCCAAGACAAAAGGAAAGAAAGGAAAAGCAAGAACAAAACCUAGGUGGAGGAUUUCAAGAGAAAAAGUGUGGAAAAUCAAGGAAAACAAGUGAAAAAGGUAGGAUUUUUUAACUUAAGCUUGAAAUCUAUUUUCCUUAAGCAUUUCUCCUUAUUUUUCAUGCUUAAAUUACAUGUUUUCAUGAUGAAUUCAUAGCUGGUCAAAAUGGGUAUGGAGAGAGAAAGAUGUUGGAUUGAAUUGAUUUUAAGAUAUGUUAGUGUUUUUAAUUAGUUUAGCAUAUUUAGAAACAAAACAACAAGAAAAGAAUCUAUUUUCCCCAUGAACCUUCAAUGGCCGAACCCUAUGUGAAGUGUAGAAGUAAUGAAUUGAUUUUUUGAUCAAGUGAAUUGGUUGAAAAAAUUGAUGAAAUGAUGAUUUAUGGUGAGAAAAUGGAAUGAGAAAAUUUUUAGUGAUAGUGCACCACAAUGGCCGAAAUUUUCAAGAAGAAUUGUGAGGGUUGUUAGGUUGAAUUUUAGAUUAUUGGAAUUGUAUUUAGUGAAUUGAAAUAUUAGAAAUGAAAUGGAGUAAUUUGGAGCCAAAUCAGACACAAUUGUCAUUUAAUCGGGUAAUAGGCCGAAUUAGGUCAGCACUGCAUUUAAGCGGUAGUCGGAUAAGUUGCAUAUCAUAUUAUGCAUAUACACCGAGCCUGAAUUGAUUUUAUAAUGGUCAAGCAUUAAUGUGGUGAAUUAUGUAUUGUACAUUGUGGAUAGGUGGUGAGAAAAUUACACUAGUAAAAGUACAGAGAUUAUGCUUGAAGACUGAGAUUAGGAGUACAUCGACUCCUAGAACUGUGAGUGAACUUAUUAUCUUCUUAAUUAUCUAGAGUAGUUUUAUACAAAUGUGUGAUUUUAUGAAAAAUGGGUUUAAAUGGUAAAUUGCUAUGUUUUAGGAGAAAUUGUGAUUUUAUAAAAUGAUUUUAUAAAUUUUUUGAAAAAUUGAAUACUGGUUUUGAAAACAGAGUAAUUGGAGACUGCCCGCUUGUGUUAUAAAUUGUGCUUUAAAUUAUAUGGCUUAUAGCAAUAUGUGAGCAUGAAUGGCAAAGUCGGUAUUUGUAUCAAAAUUAUAUAUACUAUGUAUUCAGCCUUAAGAGGCUAAAUUACGAUAAAUUGUCAUGUCAUGCAGAUAAAUAUUUUAUAAAUCAGAUGGUAGAUAAAAUAAUCUAUAAUCCCUGCAGUGGAGGUUCUGUGGACCAACCUAAGAGAGGGGGCACAGAAUCAGAUAUACCUUACCUCGAUCACAGAGCCGUGUGAAGGGUGUCUCUGGAGGUAAAGAUUUGAGUGCACUUCAUGUGGACCACCGCGUGAGAGUGAGACUCAGCCAAUGCCAAGGCAUGGCUAGAAUUUCAGAUGUAAAGAUAUUUAACCGCCUUGGUGGUCUCGGUCAGAUGCCUAGGUCAAGGUAUCAUCGGUAAUGAUUUUGGCAGGAGCCAAGUUUUGUGAGAUACAUAAGCCAUGUUGAUUAAUUGAGUAAACUGAAUAUUCAUGUUAUGAAACUUAUAUUGGAAAAGAAUAUUUUAAUUCGUCUCUAUUUACUCGCCUUUAGAUAGUUUAGAUGAUGUCUGUUU